AUGGAAACCAACAGUCAUUGGUCGCAGGUGCAGCAUCAUCAAGAUUCACAUGCAUUAUAUACAGAGAGUUAAAUCGAAUUUAAACCUACUGACUACCACAAAAGCAAGGCAUAGUUACAUAACAUCUGGAAAAGAGGCUGUGUCUUGUGUUUUGUCUUUGAGUAGGUUUGAAUCGUGAUUCUAUUACGGUGGCUAGUGAGAAUCUUGAUGAUGCUGCAUCAGCGGUAUAUGACUUAAUUAGCUUCAU
This 247-nucleotide microRNA precursor is filed under the name Linum usitatissimum (flax). Its description in RNAcentral is "miR172h stem-loop (lus-MIR172h)". Its record names the gene lus-MIR172h. The stretch from base 18 to 229 matches the Rfam family "mir-172 microRNA precursor family". Rfam says of the family: mir-172 has been experimentally verified in Arabidopsis thaliana. This family is thought to target mRNAs coding for APETALA2-like transcription factors. The mature sequence is excised from the 3' arm of the hairpin. The record is from miRBase by way of RNAcentral. Lineage: Eukaryota; Viridiplantae; Streptophyta; Magnoliopsida; Malpighiales; Linaceae.